UGCGUAGGUGGCGCCGUAAGUCGGAUGUGAAAUUUCGGAGCUUAACUCCGAAACUGCAUUCGAUACUGCGGUGCUUGAGGACUGGAGAGGAGACUGGAAUUCAUGGUGUAGCAGUGAAAUGCGUAGAGAUCAUGAGGAAGACCAGUGGCGAAGGCGGGUCUCUGGACAGUUCCUGACACUGGGGCACGAAGGCCAGGGGAGCAAACG
RNAcentral lists this ribosomal RNA (207 nucleotides) under uncultured bacterium. Its description in RNAcentral is "partial 16S ribosomal RNA". It matches the Rfam family "Bacterial small subunit ribosomal RNA", at positions 568 to 774 of the family's 1533-position model. The record is from RNAcentral.